GCAAAUGAUGAUCUGAUUAUUCUUCACUUUGACCUGACUUACUAGUGAUGAAAACCUUCAACCUGAGC
Molecule: small nucleolar RNA, 68 nt
Organism: Mugil cephalus (flathead mullet)
Lineage: Eukaryota; Metazoa; Chordata; Actinopteri; Mugiliformes; Mugilidae
Product: small nucleolar RNA SNORD37
Exons: 1
Source: RefSeq, a predicted model, not a curated record